GCGCAGCUGAUCCAGCCAUUCCGCGUGCAGGACGAAGGCCUUCGGGUUGUAAACUGCUUUUGUACGGAACGAAAAAGCUCUUGUUAAUACCAAGAGUCCAUGACGGUACCGUAAGAAUAAGCACCGGCUAACUACGUGCCAGCAGCCGCGGUAAUACGUAGGGUGCAAGCGUUAAUCGGAAUUACUGGGCGUAAAGCGUGCGCAGGCGGUUAUGUAAGACAGAUGUGAAAUCCCCGGGCUCAACCUGGGAACUGCAUUUGUGACUGCAUAGCUAGAGUACGGUAGAGGGGGAUGGAAUUCCGCGUGUAGCAGUGAAAUGCGUAGAUAUGCGGAGGAACACCGAUGGCGAAGGCAAUCCCCUGGACCUGUACUGACGCUCAUGCACGAAAGCGUGGGGAGCAAACAGGAUUAGAUACCCUGGUAGUCCACGCCCUAAACGAUGUCAACUGGUUGUUGGGUCUUCACUGACUCAGUAACGAAGCUAACGCGUGAAGUUGACNCGCCUGGGGGAGCUACGUGCCGCAAGGUUGAAACUCAAAGGAAUUGACGC
This 550-nucleotide ribosomal RNA is filed under the name uncultured bacterium. RNAcentral describes it as "bacterial SSU rRNA". It matches the Rfam family "Bacterial small subunit ribosomal RNA", at positions 377 to 916 of the family's 1533-position model. The record is from RNAcentral.